This 234-nucleotide unclassified non-coding RNA is filed under the name fungal sp. RNAcentral's name for it is "partial internal transcribed spacer region". The stretch from base 1 to 46 matches the Rfam family "Eukaryotic small subunit ribosomal RNA", at positions 1786 to 1831 of the family's 1831-position model. The record is from RNAcentral. Lineage: Eukaryota; Fungi.
AAGUCGUAACAAGGUUUCCGUAGGUGAACCUGCGGAAGGAUCAUUACAGAGAAUAUCGCCCUCAUGGGUGACUCUCCAACCCAAUGUUAUUCUAUCUUUGUUGCUUUGGCGAGCCGCCUUGGCCACCGGCUCACGCUGGUGAGUGCUCGCCAGAGGACCCAAAACUCUGAAUUAAAGUAUUGUCUGAGUACUAUAUAAUAGUUAAAACUUUCAACAACGGAUCUCUUGGUUCUG